UGGCUGUAAUGGUCCAACGGCGAAGUCUCUCACACUUAUUUCGCUCCUUUCCUUCCAACUCAACCCCGUUGGAUCCCCCCCGCUCGGCGCCCAGCCCGAACGCUGCGGUGGCUGCCCGGUCGCGCAGGCAACUCGCGACUGUCGGUAAAAGAUUUAUUGCGGCCCUAAGCACUGGAGAUGACCCUUGAGUGAGGAUUCACUCUGCAGAGACCUCUCCCCCGUCGCGUGGCGGGCUGGAUCACGACCGCGGGGGGCUUGGGUUGGAAGGGCGAGAUGGAGAAUGACGACGCCUCUU
This 295-nucleotide signal recognition particle RNA is filed under the name Tolypocladium ophioglossoides CBS 100239. Its description in RNAcentral is "Fungal signal recognition particle RNA". It matches the Rfam family "Fungal signal recognition particle RNA". Lineage: Eukaryota; Fungi; Ascomycota; Sordariomycetes; Hypocreales; Ophiocordycipitaceae. The record is from Rfam by way of RNAcentral.